RNAcentral lists this non-coding RNA (25 nucleotides) under Cricetulus griseus (Chinese hamster). Lineage: Eukaryota; Metazoa; Chordata; Mammalia; Rodentia; Cricetidae. The record is from RNAcentral.
GUGUAUGAUGUUCUUUCUGAUCGUG